AGCGUGAGAAGAGGAGCACUCCUUCCUCCCUGGGAACCAGCACAGGGCAGCUGCACACACCAUACCCACAGCCCCGUUAGGUUGUGUGAAGCCUCAAGUCUGUGACAAGAUCUUGGAAGACAGAGAUCAGCCUUCAUCAUCUACCACCAUCAGGCACUGGGAGGUGGGGACGGGGCUCAAGCUGACACCCUGAGAUGACUACCAGGAACUUUGAGGACGACACUGAGUGGCUACAACAGAGACCGUGUAGUUCACUAGGCCCAGAUGUUGACUCACAGGCCACAGGAAGAACAAACAUUCGUCUCUACACUGUGG
Molecule: long non-coding RNA, 315 nt
Filed under: Mus caroli (Ryukyu mouse)
Lineage: Eukaryota; Metazoa; Chordata; Mammalia; Rodentia; Muridae
Description: lncRNA (MGP_CAROLIEiJ_G0005554.1)
Source: RNAcentral